CGGGAAGAGCUCAAAUUUAAAAUCUGGCAGCCUUGUGUUGUCCGAGUUGUAGUCUAGAGAAGCAUCAUCCGUGCUGGACCAUGUACAAGUCUCUUGGAACAGAGCGUCAUAGAGGGUGAGAAUCCCGUCUUG
RNAcentral lists this ribosomal RNA (132 nucleotides) under Ceratobasidium sp. RNAcentral's name for it is "partial large subunit ribosomal RNA". It matches the Rfam family "Eukaryotic large subunit ribosomal RNA", at positions 99 to 228 of the family's 3401-position model. The record is from RNAcentral. Lineage: Eukaryota; Fungi; Basidiomycota; Agaricomycetes; Cantharellales; Ceratobasidiaceae.